UAGGGAAUCUUCGGCAAUGGACGGAAGUCUGACCGAGCAACGCCGCGUGAGUGAAGAAGGUUUUCGGAUCGUAAAGCUCUGUUGUAAGAGAAGAACGAGUGUGAGAGUGGAAAGUUCACACUGUGACGGUAUCUUACCAGAAAGGGACGGCUAACUACGUGCCAGCAGCCGCGGUAAUACGUAGGUGGCAAGCGUUGUCCGGAUUUAUUGGGCGUAAAGGGAACGCAGGCGGUCUUUUAAGUCUGAUGUGAAAGCCUUCGGCUUAACCGGAGUAGUGCAUUGGAAACUGGAAGACUUGAGUGCAGAAGAGGAGAGUGGAACUCCAUGUGUAGCGGUGAAAUGCGUAGAUAUAUGGAAGAACACCAGUGGCGAAAGCGGCUCUCUGGUCUGUAACUGACGCUGAGGUUCGAAAGCGUGGGUAGCAAACAGGAUUAGAUACCCUGGUAGUCCACGCCGUAAACGAUGAAUGCUAGGUGUUGGAGGGUUUCCGCCCUUCAGUGCCGCAGCUAACGCAAUAAGCAUUCCGCCUGGGGAGUACGACCGCAAGGUUG
Molecule: ribosomal RNA, 551 nt
Filed under: uncultured bacterium
Lineage: Bacteria
Description: bacterial SSU rRNA
Rfam family: Bacterial small subunit ribosomal RNA
Source: RNAcentral